Hyla sarda is the source of this 693-nucleotide long non-coding RNA. RefSeq lists it as uncharacterized. The transcript is spliced from 3 exons. The record is from RefSeq and is a predicted model, not a curated record. Lineage: Eukaryota; Metazoa; Chordata; Amphibia; Anura; Hylidae.
CACAGCCUGGCGGCGCUGUGACAGUUUAUUCUCAUCAGGUACAUGUACAUGGUGAUGCAAGAAGUCAUCCAUUAUCAUCACGUACAUGUACCUGAUUUUGCGGGAAUGGGGUUAGAAUAAAGUAGAAGCUCACGACCACUUAAAAAUGACUGGGGAUGAUAGACCGGAAGGCAUCUGAACAGCAGCUUUGGGGAGCAAUGACAAGUAACUAAGAAGAACACACCACCUGGAAUAAUGAAGUGAGGACCGAGAAAACAUUUGCUUUCUUGUAUACUACUCAGAAUGUCAUCUGCCUCCCCUUCAUCCUAACUUGCUCUUCUCCUGGUCCUACGCUUUUCCUGCCCACCCUCCUGCCAGCAUUGAGGCUCCAUUACAAGGAAUUCAUAUCAUUCCCUCAAGACAAGAUACAGGACAAAUCACUGACAAUUCCUCAUACCAGAGAGCACGAUUUCUUAGUCGAAUGCAUAUGACUGUCCCGUAUUUCCAUGGAAACGGCUAAAGCCAUUAUUGUAUAUUAUAACAUUCAAUGUUCGUACUGAGGUGAAUGAAUACAAUCUGCGCACAUUGCUGCAGGGAAAACUUGGCUAUAUAAAUAACUAGAAAUACAUAAAGAAUACGUUUCUGUGGACAGAAGUGUAGAUUAGAGCUGGGCCGUAUGAGCAAAUAUGUGUAUCACGGUAUUUUUGUAACUUA